GACGAACGCUGGCGGCGUGCUUAACACAUGCAAGUCGAACGGAAAGGCCCUGCUUUUGUGGGGUGCUCGAGUGGCGAACGGGUGAGUAACACGUGAGUAACCUGCCCUUAACUUUGGGAUAACUUCAGGAAACUGGGGCUAAUACCGGAUAGGAGCUCCUGCUGCAUGGUGGGGGUUGGAAAGUUUCGGCGGUUGGGGAUGGACUCGCGGCUUAUCAGCUUGUUGGUGGGGUAGUGGCUUACCAAGGCUUUGACGGGUAGCCGGCCUGAGAGGGUGACCGGCCACAUUGGGACUGAGAUACGGCCCAGACUCCUACGGGAGGCAACAGUGGGGAAUAUUGCACAAUGGGCGGAAGCCUGAUGCAGCAACGCCGCGUGCGGGAUGACGGCCUUCGGGUUGUAAACCGCUUUCGCCUGUGACGAAGCGUGAGUGACGGUAAUGGGUAAAGAAGCACCGGCUAACUACGU
This 467-nucleotide ribosomal RNA is filed under the name uncultured bacterium. RNAcentral describes it as "partial 16S ribosomal RNA". It matches the Rfam family "Bacterial small subunit ribosomal RNA", at positions 28 to 506 of the family's 1533-position model. The record is from RNAcentral.